RNAcentral lists this transfer RNA (71 nucleotides) under Camelus bactrianus (Bactrian camel). It matches the Rfam family "tRNA". From Rfam's summary of the family: Transfer RNA (tRNA) molecules are approximately 80 nucleotides in length. Their secondary structure includes four short double-helical elements and three loops (D, anti-codon, and T loops). Lineage: Eukaryota; Metazoa; Chordata; Mammalia; Artiodactyla; Camelidae. RNAcentral also lists the same sequence under 2 other names. The record is from Rfam by way of RNAcentral.
GAGGGUGUAGCUCAGUGGCAGGGUGCAGGCUUAGUAUGCAUGAGGUCCUGGGUUCAAUCCCAGUACCUCCA